GGAUGUGAGGGCAAUAUGGCUGUGACAUGUGAACCCCAUUGAUCACUGGGGUGAAUUCAGCUGAUGUGGCUCAUUAGGAGGGCGUCCUCUUUCUCCCUUACAUGCAUUUCUCCUGAAGCUGCCCACUCUGUCAAAGGGGAUGACCUUCCCCAAUAGAGGAGAACCAUUCUUUGGUCAAGGAUAUACAAGUAGUUGCACUCCCCUACUAGAGCCUCCAAACAAGCUCUCAAGGGUCAUUUGUAGGAGAACAAAGGGUAGUCAAGCUCCCAAGAUUCCAGACACAUCCAACUGAGGUGCUGCAUGUGGCAAUCUGCCUUUCUU
Molecule: non-coding RNA, 321 nt
Organism: Myotis davidii
Lineage: Eukaryota; Metazoa; Chordata; Mammalia; Chiroptera; Vespertilionidae
Source: Rfam